GGCAGAAGCUGACGAAAUCCCAGGGCCUGACCAGGAAGAUCAGGCACUCCAUGAAAGAGAAACAAAGAAGUUCCUCUGCAGGAAGAAGAAGAGAGGGAAAGAGAAAAGCAACCAAUCCCAAGCCCCUGCCGUGAGCAAACACUUCACACACAAGGCCUCUCUUUGGUUCAACCUCACGUAGGCAAUGUUAUUGCGCCACUUUACAGACGAGGACCUGGAGACUUAAAGGGACAGCUCUUGUAUCAGAGUUUUGAGAUUUGGUGAACAGGACCAUAUGAACCUGAAUUCAUUCAUCCAUUCAACCAUCUGUUGGCGGCCCAGUGUUUCGUCAGUUCGAAUCCUGGGCGCGGACAUGGCACUGCUCAUCAGACCACGCUGAGGCAGCGUACCACAUGCCACAACUAGAAGAACCCACAACGAAGAAUACACAACUAUGUACCGGGG
RNAcentral lists this long non-coding RNA (444 nucleotides) under Equus caballus (horse). RNAcentral describes it as "lncRNA (ENSECAG00000058131.1)". The record is from RNAcentral. Lineage: Eukaryota; Metazoa; Chordata; Mammalia; Perissodactyla; Equidae.